Molecule: long non-coding RNA, 2659 nt
Filed under: Jatropha curcas
Lineage: Eukaryota; Viridiplantae; Streptophyta; Magnoliopsida; Malpighiales; Euphorbiaceae
Description: long non-coding RNA (JCUR_LNC001926)
Source: RNAcentral
AAAAAAGACAAGCUUAGUGUAUCGCCCUCUCUUCAUCAUCUUAAGCUCAUCUUGGGCGGCCAUUGGCAUGAAUUAUUUCUGGUUAAAACAAAUAGAGGGGAAGAGGGAUUGAUUGUAAUCGUAGCAUCAACAAGUAAUUGAGGGAAUCAAUAAUCGAUAAUAUUGACAGAUUUGAAGAGGGGAAGAUCGAUUGGUUUGUAGAACAGUUCAGCUGGAAGAAUUGAUUGAAGCUAGGCGAGGAAGCAACUCAUCCACCAUGCCCCACCGUGCGAGAAAAAUUAAUCGGUAAGUGAAUUCUAAAUUAAUAAAACUUUGAAACUAAUUUGUUGUCAUUUUUGAAUUGGCAUUGGUAUUGGUAUUGCAUGCCACAGUCAGUUAAAGCCAAGAAAUGAUUUUAAGCCAAAUUGAUAACUGUAAUUGUAAAUAAAUUAGGAUCGUGUUUUUUCAUUUAUAUUGUUUCCACAAGAUCCAUUCUCACGUUUAUAUUCAGAAUCACUGUCAACAUCAAUUUUGAGAAUCAAUUUUUGCAUAAGGUUUAAAUUAGGUUUAUAUUACUGUCAAUGUUAUAUUAAUGUAAGCCUUACGCUUAUAUUAAAUUGUUUAUAUAAUAAGUCUAAUAGUAUACAUUUUGAGUAAUUAAGUAAAAGGUUAUAUUACUGUUAAUGAGACGCUUAACAGAUGACAGAAAAUCUUGAUAUCAUGGAACAUGUUAGCAGAUAGGAUGAAUCAUGUUAAUUGGCAAUUAAAAUCCAAAUUCUGUCAGUUAAAGCCAAAAAAUGAAACCAAAAAUUUUAUAGUAACUAAACAUGCAAGUUUUGAAAUUACACUAAAACCUUAGUGAUUUUUCAGAAUCAAUUUUCAGAAUUAAUUUUUGUGUAAGGUUUAUAUUAAGAAACAGAACCAGUAGACAUUACAGGCUCACAUUACUGUUAAUGUGAGGUUUAUAUUAGUAACUAAACAUGCAAAAAAGAAACCAAAAUUUUUUAGUAACUAAACAUGCAAGUAUUCAAAUUUUUUAUUUUUUUAGUUUUGAAGGGGUGUUGGAUUUUAAGCAAUAUGUUAACUUUCAUUUCAAGACUAAUAUGCUUAUAUUAAUUUUAUUAAGUAUCAAUUUUACGACUAAUAACAACAUCCAUAUACUCUAGCCUCCUAGUUGGCAUUUUAAGAAAUCAUUAAGUAUAAAUUUUAUUAAGUGAGCAUUUUUCAGUAAGAGUAGAAGGAGUUAAUCUAAUAAACUGCUUCAUGGGUUGCAGAGCUACAAACCCUUUGGACCGGACAAAGGAAGAUGAAAGCAAUAGUAGUAAUUGCAUUGACAUGCCAAUUCAAUAUAAUGUUGGAAGAAGGCAUGAGUCACGAACAUCCUUAAACUCGAAAGAGGUAAGAGUUAGAUUCAUAAUAUUAUAGUUGGUCAAUUCAUUAGAGGCACUAAAUGCUAAUAUUCGUAAAUUUAAUUGUAUGAUAUAGAGUCCAAAUGUGCGAUGUCAGUCUUUAGCGUUUAGGGCAUUAGUAAAUGAAAUGACUAAUUGUUGACGCGUGUUUUUAUGACCCCGCCUGAUCCAAUGAUGAUACGAGGAUGUGGAAUGAAUGGGUUAAUGCUAUCUAGAAGUCUUUUAAUCCAAGGAUUUAAAUUAAAAAUGAUGUUGCAGUUGCGUCACGCAGCUAUAGCUGCGUCACGUAGCUAUAUUAGACUACAUGACGUUUUUGUAUUAAACGACAUGUAGUUCUGGUACAACAAGUAAGCUUCGUCACGCAGCUAUGCUCUGGGACUUACUUCUAUAAAUAGAUCGUUUUCUCACGUUUGAGACAAGAGGGGAAUGAUUUGGAAAACCCCUAAAAACAUAUUGGGCGGCCACAUUCUCCUGCAGAGGCUCUUUUGAGUUCUUUAGAAGGAAAUUAGCCAUUAGAUAUCAAUUUUAGGUGAAUUAAAUCAAAAAAAAAAAGAGAGAAAAAUUCAAAAGACAAAAGAAAACGAAUUUGAAUCGAAUCCUUGGAAACAAAGCUUCUGAAGACCUUAACUAUCACUUGUUAAGACAUUCAAUCCGUUUACAAUCCUCAAUCUGAGGAUUAGGUAAUCUCUUUACCAUUCGUUGUAUUUUUUUUUUUUUUACUUAUUUUUGCGAUUUUAGUAAUUUAAGCUUCAUUAAAUUAUAUUAUGUUCAUAUUUGGCCAUUUUAUGAGUUUUUGAAUCAUAUUUAGAUAAAAAAAAUGAUCUCAAUAAAUCGUUUGAAAACAAGCUUGGGCCAGAACAGCCGCAUCACGCAACUGUUCAUACAAGAACAGCUGUGUCACGCAACUGUUCAUCCAAGAACAGUUCCGUCACGUAACUGUUAGUUGUGUGACGCAACUGUUUUAAGCUUCCAGAGAUGAUUUUCAUUUUUCAACAGAUCCAUCACGAGGUAUUGUGAACCCUCCCCCGAAGGCAAAAUUAUGCUAGAAUGAGGUAUGCUCACAUGUGUGUUUUAUGAAGUCGCCACCUAGUUUAUUUUUAUAAGGGAAAACUAAGAAAGAACCCUAAAUGACUCCAAUUUUAAUUAACCAAGUCUAGAUUAAUUACCCCAAAGUUUAAGGCACAAUCUACGAACCCGAGGUGGAUCCCGAGACUAUGUCAUGCUGAUUAACUAACCGAAGUGUAAAUGCCCUUCCAAGGUAAAUUGAUGCA